CGGGUGAGUAACGCGUGGAAAACCUGCCGUAUACUGGGGGAUAACACUUAGAAAUAGGUGCUAAUACCGCAUAAGCGCACAGACCCGCAUGGGACAGUGUGGAAAACAAAAAGCUAAAGCUUUUUGUGGUAUACGAUGGUUCCGCGUCUGAUUAGCUUGUUGGCGGGGUAACGGCCCACCAAGGCGACGAUCAGUAGCCGGCCUGAGAGGGUGAACGGCCACAUUGGGACUGAGACACGGCCCAGACUCCUACGGGAGGCAGCAG
Molecule: ribosomal RNA, 265 nt
Filed under: uncultured bacterium
Lineage: Bacteria
Description: partial 16S ribosomal RNA
Rfam family: Bacterial small subunit ribosomal RNA
Source: RNAcentral